GUUGAACGCUGGCGGCAGGCCUAACACAUGCAAGUCGAACGAGUGGCGGACGGGUGAGUAAUGUCUGGGAAACUGCCUGAUGGAGGGGGAUAACUACUGGAAACGGUAGCUAAUACCGCAUACCAUCGGAUGUGCCCAGAUGGGAUUAGCUAGUAGGUGGGGUAACGGCUCACCUAGGCGACGAUCCCUAGCUGGUCUGAGAGGGUGACCCGCCACCCUGUAACUGAGACACGGUCCCGACUCCUACGGGAGUCAGCAGUGUGGAAUAUUGCACAAUGUGCGCAAGCCUGAUGCAGCCAUGCCGCGUGUAUGAGGAAGGCCUUCGGGUUGUAAAGUACUUUCAGCGGGGAGGCGUUACCCGCAGAAGAAGCACCGGCUAACUCCGUGCCAGCAGCCGCGGUAAUAC
Molecule: ribosomal RNA, 406 nt
Filed under: uncultured bacterium
Lineage: Bacteria
Description: partial 16S ribosomal RNA
Rfam family: Bacterial small subunit ribosomal RNA
Source: RNAcentral